Phascolarctos cinereus (koala) is the source of this 580-nucleotide non-coding RNA. NCBI's taxonomy places the organism in Eukaryota, Metazoa, Chordata, Mammalia, Diprotodontia, Phascolarctidae. The record is from RefSeq and is a predicted model, not a curated record.
GGGUCGGCCCCGCCCCCGCCACCCGCUCUCUCAGACCCCUCCCCUGCUCAUCUGGCCCGGGCCUCCUUUUCAGUAAGACGGAGCAGGCGCUCCGUCUGUUGCUGUCUAGGGCUCUGCCCACCUCUAAACCGAGCUCCGAGUUUGCAAAUUCAUUAUUGCUCCUGAUAGCUCUCACUCGCAGAUUCCUUCCUUUCCCUAAGUGAAGAGGAAUGGAAGCUGAGAUCCUGAGUAUCUCUGCCUAAUCAACCUUACCUCAAAGGAGUUGAGCCCCAAGUCUUCUCCCUUUGGAUACCUGGCCCAUUCUGACAGAUGAUGGGCUUCAUAUGAAGUACUCACUGGUUGCUUGGUCAUCUGUGGGUCUGUCUUUGAGAUAGCGUAGUCCACACAUGAUUAUACAGUUUCUGCAAAAGCUAUUGCACAUGUAUUCUUUGAUCCUCAGCCUGGGAAAGUGUGGGCACAAGUGAGCCUACCUCACUACAUUUUGGGCCCAGCUAAAGAAGCACUAAGGCAGACCAGGAAUGUAGAACUUGAUAGUAAUUUCCCUUAUCCAAGACAUUGGACUUAAUCUUGUUGAAUAUUA